This 1501-nucleotide ribosomal RNA is filed under the name Lactiplantibacillus plantarum. RNAcentral's name for it is "bacterial SSU rRNA". It matches the Rfam family "Bacterial small subunit ribosomal RNA". The record is from RNAcentral. Lineage: Bacteria; Bacillati; Bacillota; Bacilli; Lactobacillales; Lactobacillaceae.
GGCGGGGUGCUAUACAUGCAAGUCGAACGAACUCUGGUAUUGAUUGGUGCUUGCAUCAUGAUUUACAUUUGAGUGAGUGGCGAACUGGUGAGUAACACGUGGGAAACCUGCCCAGAAGCGGGGGAUAACACCUGGAAACAGAUGCUAAUACCGCAUAACAACUUGGACCGCAUGGUCCGAGUUUGAAAGAUGGCUUCGGCUAUCACUUUUGGAUGGUCCCGCGGCGUAUUAGCUAGAUGGUGGGGUAACGGCUCACCAUGGCAAUGAUACGUAGCCGACCUGAGAGGGUAAUCGGCCACAUUGGGACUGAGACACGGCCCAAACUCCUACGGGAGGCAGCAGUAGGGAAUCUUCCACAAUGGACGAAAGUCUGAUGGAGCAACGCCGCGUGAGUGAAGAAGGGUUUCGGCUCGUAAAACUCUGUUGUUAAAGAAGAACAUAUCUGAGAGUAACUGUUCAGGUAUUGACGGUAUUUAACCAGAAAGCCACGGCUAACUACGUGCCAGCAGCCGCGGUAAUACGUAGGUGGCAAGCGUUGUCCGGAUUUAUUGGGCGUAAAGCGAGCGCAGGCGGUUUUUUAAGUCUGAUGUGAAAGCCUUCGGCUCAACCGAAGAAGUGCAUCGGAAACUGGGAAACUUGAGUGCAGAAGAGGACAGUGGAACUCCAUGUGUAGCGGUGAAAUGCGUAGAUAUAUGGAAGAACACCAGUGGCGAAGGCGGCUGUCUGGUCUGUAACUGACGCUGAGGCUCGAAAGUAUGGGUAGCAAACAGGAUUAGAUACCCUGGUAGUCCAUACCGUAAACGAUGAAUGCUAAGUGUUGGAGGGUUUCCGCCCUUCAGUGCUGCAGCUAACGCAUUAAGCAUUCCGCCUGGGGAGUACGGCCGCAAGGCUGAAACUCAAAGGAAUUGACGGGGGCCCGCACAAGCGGUGGAGCAUGUGGUUUAAUUCGAAGCUACGCGAAGAACCUUACCAGGUCUUGACAUACUAUGCAAAUCUAAGAGAUUAGACGUUCCCUUCGGGGACAUGGAUACAGGUGGUGCAUGGUUGUCGUCAGCUCGUGUCGUGAGAUGUUGGGUUAAGUCCCGCAACGAGCGCAACCCUUAUUAUCAGUUGCCAGCAUUAAGUUGGGCACUCUGGUGAGACUGCCGGUGACAAACCGGAGGAAGGUGGGGAUGACGUCAAAUCAUCAUGCCCCUUAUGACCUGGGCUACACACGUGCUACAAUGGAUGGUACAACGAGUUGCGAACUCGCGAGAGUAAGCUAAUCUCUUAAAGCCAUUCUCAGUUCGGAUUGUAGGCUGCAACUCGCCUACAUGAAGUCGGAAUCGCUAGUAAUCGCGGAUCAGCAUGCCGCGGUGAAUACGUUCCCGGGCCUUGUACACACCGCCCGUCACACCAUGAGAGUUUGUAACACCCAAAGUCGGUGGGGUAACCUUUUAGGAACCAGCCGCCUAAGGUGGGACAGAUGAUUAGGGUGAAGUCGUAACAAGUAAACCGUAAA